Molecule: non-coding RNA, 208 nt
Organism: Chiloscyllium plagiosum (whitespotted bambooshark)
Lineage: Eukaryota; Metazoa; Chordata; Chondrichthyes; Orectolobiformes; Hemiscylliidae
Source: RefSeq, a predicted model, not a curated record
GUUAAUAUCUGUGUCUUUGGGUUCGGCAAUUUUUCGUGCAUUAGAAGUUUUAGUUACCAUUCAUUGACAUGAUCCGGACCAACGGUAUGAACCAAUCCAGGAAUUCCCAAUUGCAAAUGAGGUCCUCCUCACCACCCCAACUGCUGCUGAGGUCACCGAACGUUCUGCCUGGGUUCAUCUCCAUCAUUGCAAGUUCAUCACAUGAGCC